Molecule: ribosomal RNA, 433 nt
Filed under: uncultured bacterium
Lineage: Bacteria
Description: partial 16S ribosomal RNA
Rfam family: Bacterial small subunit ribosomal RNA
Source: RNAcentral
AACGAACGCUGGCGGCAUGCCUAACACAUGCAAGUCGAACGAGACCUUCGGGUCUAGUGGCGCACGGGUGCGUACCGCGUGGGAACCUGCCCUUAGGUUCGGAAUAACUCCCCGAAAGGGGUGCUAAUACCGGAUAAUGUCUUCGGACCAAAGAUUUAUCGCCUUUGGAUGGGCCCGCGUUGGAUUAGCUAGUUGGUAGGGUAAAAGCCUACCAAGGCGACGAUCCAUAGCUGGUCUGAGAGGAUGAUCAGCCACACUGGGACUGAGACACGGCCCAGACUCCUACGGGAGGCAGCAGUGGGGAAUAUUGGACAAUGGGCGAAAGCCUGAUCCAGCACUGCCGCGUGAGUGAUGAAGGCCUUAGGGUUGUAAAGCUCUUUUACCCGGGAUGAUAAUGACAGUACCGGGAGAAUAAGCUCCGGCUAACUCCGUG